AUUUUAAAUCUAGCCUAAAUAUAAAACACUACCUCUUA
RNAcentral lists this ribosomal RNA (38 nucleotides) under Desmognathus quadramaculatus (black-bellied salamander). RNAcentral's name for it is "partial large subunit ribosomal RNA". The record is from RNAcentral. Lineage: Eukaryota; Metazoa; Chordata; Amphibia; Caudata; Plethodontidae.